CCCAUAGAUGUUCUGGGCCGCACGCGCGCUACACUGACGAAUGCAACGAGCUUAUAACCUUGGCCGAAAGGUCUGGGUAAUCUCCAAAUUUCGUCGUGAUGGGGAUAGAUUAUUGCAAUUAUUAAUCUUCAACGAGGAAUGCCUAGUAAGCGCAAGUCAUCAGCUUGCGUUGAUUACGUCCCUGCCCUUUGUACACACCGCCCGUCGCUCCUACCGAUUGAAUGGUCCGGUGAAGCGUUCGGACCGUGGCCUUUGGACGGUUCGCCGUCUGUUGGCUGCGGGAAGUUCGUUAAACCUUAUCAUUUAGAGGAAGGAGAAGUCGUAACA
This 327-nucleotide ribosomal RNA is filed under the name uncultured eukaryote. RNAcentral's name for it is "partial 18S ribosomal RNA". It matches the Rfam family "Eukaryotic small subunit ribosomal RNA", at positions 1470 to 1796 of the family's 1831-position model. The record is from RNAcentral.